This 465-nucleotide ribosomal RNA is filed under the name uncultured bacterium. RNAcentral's name for it is "partial 16S ribosomal RNA". It matches the Rfam family "Bacterial small subunit ribosomal RNA", at positions 338 to 795 of the family's 1533-position model. The record is from RNAcentral.
CCUACGGGAGGCAGCAGUGGGGAAUUUUGCGCAAUGCUCGAAAGCGUGACGCAGCGACGCCGCGUGAAUGACGAAGGCCUUCGGGUCGUAAAGUCCUUUUGACAGGGAAGAAAAUGCCUAUAAGUAACUGUGUAUGUAUUGACGGUACCUGUAUAAGCAGUCACGGCUAACUCCGUGCCAGCAGCCGCGGUAAUACGGAGGGGGCGAGCGUUGUUCGGAGUGACUGGGCGUAAAGAGCACGUAGGCGGUGUUGUAAGUCAUUAGUCAAAGACUAGAGCUCAACUUUAGUAAGGCUAGUGAUACUAUAAUACUAGAGUAUCAGAGAGGAUUGCAGAAUUCCUGGUGUAGCGGUGAAAUGCGUAGAUAUCAGGAGGAAUACCGUUAGCGAAGGCGGCAAUCUGGCUGGAAACUGACGCUGAGGUGCGAAAGCGUGGGUAGCAAACAGGAUUAGAUACCCCUGUAGUC